Molecule: ribosomal RNA, 253 nt
Filed under: uncultured bacterium
Lineage: Bacteria
Description: partial 16S ribosomal RNA
Rfam family: Bacterial small subunit ribosomal RNA
Source: RNAcentral
UACGGAGGGUGCGAGCGUUGUCCGGAAUCACUGGGCGUAAAGGGCGCGUAGGUGGCUCGUGAAGCGUGCGGUGAAAGCCUGGGGCUCAACCCCGGGUCGGCCGUGCGAACUGGGGGGCUGGAGCACUGUAGAGGCAGGCGGAAUUCCGGGUGUAGCGGUGGAAUGCGUAGAGAUCCGGAAGAACACCGGUGGCGAAGGCGGCCUGCUGGGCAGUUGCUGACACUGAGGCGCGACAGCGUGGGGAGCAAACAGG